GACGAACGUUGGCGGCGUGCUUAACACAUGCAAGUCGAACGGAAAGGCCCUGCUUUUGUGGGGUGUUCGAGUGGCGAACGGGUGAGUAACACGUGAGUAACCUGCCCUUGACUUUGGGAUAACUUCAGGAAACUGGGGCUAAUACCGGAUAGGAGCUCCUGCUGCAUGGUGGGGGUUGGAAAGUUUCGGCGGUUGGGGAUGGACUCGCGGCUUAUCAGCUUGUUGGUGGGGUAGUGGCUUACCAAGGCUUUGACGGGUAGCCGGCCUGAGAGGGUGACCGGCCACAUUGGGACUGAGAUACGGCCCAGACUCCUACGGGAGGCAGCAGUGGGGAAUAUUGCACAAUGGGCGGAAGCCUGAUGCAGCAACGCCGCGUGCGGGAUGACGGCCUUCGGGUUGUAAACCGCUUUCGCCUGUGACGAAGCGUGAGUGACGGUAAUGGGUAAAGAAGCACCGGCUAACUACGUGCCAGCAGCCGCGGUGAUACGUAGGGUGCGAGCGUUGUCCGGAUUUAUUGGGCGUAAAGGGCUCGUAGGUGGUUGAUCGCGUCGGAAGUGUAAUCUUGGGGCUUAACCCUGAGCGUGCUUUCGAUACGGGUUGACUUGAGGAAGGUAGGGGAGAAUGGAAUUCCUGGUGGAGCGGUGGAAUGCGCAGAUAUCAGGAGGAACACCAGUGGCGAAGGCGGUUCUCUGGGCCUUUCCUGACGCUGAGGAGCGAAAGCGUGGGGAGCGAACAGGCUUAGAUACCCUGGUAGUCCACGCUGUAAACGGUGGGUACUAGGUGUGGGGUCCAUUCCACGGGUUCCGUGCCGUAGCUAACGCUUUAAGUACCCCGCCUGGGGAGUACGGCCGCAAGGCUAAAACUCAAAGGAAUUGACGGGGCCCCGCACAAGCGGCGGAGCAUGCGGAUUAAUUCGAUGCAACGCGUAGAACCUUACCUGGGUUUGACAUGGAUCGGGAGUGCUCAGAGAUGGGUGUGCCUCUUUUGGGGUCGGUUCACAGGUGGUGCAUGGCUGUCGUCAGCUCGUGUCGUGAGAUGUUGGGUUAAGUCCCGCAACGAGCGCAACCCUUGUUCACUGUUGCCAGCACGUUAUGGUGGGGACUCAGUGGAGACCGCCGGGGUCAACUCGGAGGAAGGUGGGGAUGACGACAAGUCAUCAUGCCCCUUAUGUCCAGGGCUUCACGCAUGCUACAAUGGCUGGUACAGAGAGUGGCGAGCCUGUGAGGGUGAGCGAAUCUCGGAAAGCCGGUCUCAGUUCGGAUUGGGGUCUGCAACUCGACCUCAUGAAGUCGGAGUCGCUAGUAAUCGCAGAUCAGCAACGCUGCGGUGAAUACGUUCCCGGG
This 1343-nucleotide ribosomal RNA is filed under the name uncultured bacterium. RNAcentral's name for it is "16S ribosomal RNA". It matches the Rfam family "Bacterial small subunit ribosomal RNA", at positions 28 to 1378 of the family's 1533-position model. The record is from RNAcentral.